RNAcentral lists this ribosomal RNA (347 nucleotides) under uncultured bacterium. RNAcentral's name for it is "bacterial SSU rRNA". It matches the Rfam family "Bacterial small subunit ribosomal RNA", at positions 8 to 334 of the family's 1533-position model. The record is from RNAcentral.
AGGGUUUGAUUAUGGCUCAGGAUGAACGCUGGCGGCGUGCUUAACACAUGCAAGUCGAACGAAGCAUUUACGACAGAUUUCUUCGGAUUGAAGUUGUUUAUGACUGAGUGGCGGACGGGUGAGUAACGCGUGAGUAACCUGCCUUGGAGUGGGGAAUAACAGGUGGAAACAUCUGCUAAUACCGCAUGAUGCAGUUGGGUCGCAUGGCUCUGACUGCCAAAGAUUUAUCGCUCUGAGAUGGACUCGCGUCUGAUUAGCUGGUUGGCGGGGUAACGGCCCACCAAGGCGACGAUCCGUAGCCGGACUGAGAGGUUGGCCGGCCACAUUGGGACUGAGACACGGCCCAG